GCAAGAACUCGCCCUCCCAUACCUUUCUGGAGUUAGCCCUUUAAAUUUGGCAGAGCCAAACUACUUCUGCCUAAGGUGGCCAUUUUGUAACUGACUGUUGUUGCUAGCUGCAGGUUCCACUCUUCUAGCUUAAGCAUCUAACAAUUUUUCUGCUACUACACUUAAAACUACUGUAUUCUAUUUCUUUCUGCCAGUCUGAAGAUCAACUUUCUGGUACCACCACAAAAGACAGAGCAGGAGGCAGGAAAUCUCCUGAUCAGCUAUUGGCUAUCAAAUACUAUCAGUACGAGCUCAGUUUGAUAGAAAUUGACUCACUUUAGUGUGCCAGCCAGCAGUGGUGUCCUGGAAACACAACAGCGUCUCUUUAAGAAUCCUGGUGACAUCAUUUACCCUCAACUCCCAUGUUGCAAAGCAUGAGUGAAUGGUGAACAGCAACAGCAAAAGAAGCUGGAAGAAAUAUCUGACCUCAAUGAGAAAAGGCCAGUGAAAUAACCUUUGAACCUAGAACAUAGGCUACAGCAAAGCAUCAACUUUAUGGAUAGCAAAGCCUGUGUGUGUGAUCUACCAUGUUUGCAAGCCAGAUCUAGAGACCAAAGACCAUUUUAAUUGUGAUGAAUAUUUGUCUUAUGGAGGGACAAAGUUCAUUGUCACUCUUCCCUAUUUUAUCUUAUGAUCCUUGUCCUCACAUAAAAGCCUUUCUGUGUCUCUCAUCAAUUUGAUCACAUACUGUAACCUGGGGUACCUAUUCCUGCUCUAGUUUUGUUUUCUGACGGUCUGACUCCAGUUUAGCACAGUGUUUCAUGUGAGCCAUACCAUCCAUGUAUAAUAUUUGUGCUAUUUUCCAUCCACUCUUUCUACAUCCUAACUGGAGCUGUGUGAAUAAUUGACUUGUCAGUUUGCUGGCAGUUUAAAAAAAAAAAAAAAAAAAAUCAGUUCAGCCUGAACUGAAAUUGUUUUGAAUUUUCAGCUAAUUGUGAAGGUUGAGGAAAUUUGUUUUGUGCCAAAUGGUUCCCCUUGACCCAAAAUGAAACCUUUUGUCUGGGGUAUUUGUAACCUUUUUUUUAACAAAAUCCAAGGAAAUGAAGGCCUAGAUUCACAACAAUGAUGAUGGUCAGGGUUCCCCGACCCUCCCGCUAGUAGGCCAGUGGUUAGGGAGCUCCCUAAGGAUGCUGGACAUCUAGGUUCAAAUCUUUCUGGAGCAGGGACUUGAAUGUAGGUGUCUCCCCACCUUGGUGAAUGUCCUAACCACUGAGAUAUUGGGUAUUCUGGGUCUCUUUCUCUCUCUCUCUCUCUCUCUCUCUCUCUCUCUCGCUCUCUCUCUUUCCUGUUGAAGCCUCUCUGCUUUGUAUAAAAUAUUCGAAUAGUCACUGUGGGGGGAGAGCAUGACUCUGUAGCCCAGUGGUUAGGGCCUGCACCUUGAACACCUUGGUCCACUAUACUAUUAGGUAUAAGGCACCUGUCUGGUUUUGUAAAUGGAGCCUAAACACUCUUGUGAAUCUAGCCCUCAAAUUGAAACAUUUCAUUCAACUUUCUGAAUGGUUUUGUUUGUGUUUUUUUUUUCAUUUUGACCGAAAUAAUUGACCGGAAUCUGCAUUUUUUUUUUUCCCCUGUAAAAAAUGCUUUGCCCAGCUCUAACGCUAACAUUUUGUUUGCUUAAAGUGUAUGUCUUUGGCAUUGGACAGAGGUUCUCAUUGGGCUGGCCACAAUGAUGUGCGCAGACCCCUUCUCGGGGCAGUUAUAGUUAUUUAGAACCUUUGAGUUUAUUCCACCCAAUGUACAUUUCCCUUUUAUGUGUGAACACUGAAUUUUGUGGAUCAUAAUCUUCCCCUCAUAGCUGCUGCAAGAAGCAUGUCUUUAUAUGUUUUUAUAGCACCUAGUAUUGGGUUCCUGAUCCUGAGUGAGACCUUUCGCCACUACCACAUUACAAAUCAAUAAUAAUAAUUAAUAAUCAUAUUCUGCUUAUAAAAUCAUACUCAAUAUCUUAGCCAGAAAGUAUAGGCUGUACAUUUCUAAUCUCUCUCUAAUACCUCACCUUGUUUAAUGAAUUGGACCUUAAGUGCCCAAUUCAUAUUCAACGCACGAACUGCAGUGAUGAGGCUCAGGAAAGGAGUAUGCAUUACUGCACUUAAGAACUUUUCCCCCUCUCCAUGUUUGCUGCUAUGCUAAUUAUUUCAAUGCCUUUCUAGCCGAGCUCUUUUAAUGUGACUUAUUUUUUUUAUACGUGGAAAAGCAGAGUCCCUCUAGUAUGGAGCUACAGUUGCUAUUGUCAGAGAUCUUGUGACCUUGAGUCUAUUAUCAUCAAAAUAAUUAGCAUGCAGCUUGCUCGGUAUCGUUUCACAAAUACAGCUGAUUUUGCUGUGAUGAAAAUCAAACCUAGAAGCAGAUUUCCAAAGCCAUUAGGUUUAAGGUGGCAACAGGGGAAAGGCUCUUAAAGAGAAUAUUCUUGCUUUUGCCAAGCCUGUGCUCAGAGAGGAUGACUCUGAGACCCAAUGGAAAUGCUCUGUCAACAGCGAAAGAUUAAUGAGAAGGCAAAGUCUGCAGGUAUACCAGGAGUCAAAGCUCUGUCAGUGUUCCAAAGCAGUAGUUUGAUUAGCCUCUCAGAUUCUGGGCACUUGUGCUACCUGCUAAGAUUUCAUACAACCCUCCAGUGAAGCUAGCAAGUCCUCCAGUUAAAUAAAGGCAUUUGUGGUACCCAUACAUUAAUGUUUCCAACUGAUUUACAUGUUCCUAAAAUAAUUUCUAUUGCAAACCUUGUUUGUUGCCAGGCUAUAUGUACGAGAGGUGAUAAAGUGAAGGAAAUAGACUAUGACUUCAGCCUAAUGAGCAAGUAGGUAUAAAGGAAUUCAAUGUCUCUCUAAUGGGAUGGGUCUAAAGUGCAGCAUGAUAUAUAAAAGUGAGAGCAAAAAGUCUGUUAGUGGAAAACUAAUAGCCAUGCGUACCCCAUUCCUUUACCAGCUGUGCAACUCCACAGCUGACUGAGUGGAGGACUGGGUAGCCUGAGUUCCAUUCCUCCCUCUACUAAAGGUGAGUAAUCUGUUUGAGCUGAGGUGCUAAGCUCCUCUGACAAUCGGGCUGUGGACUGCUCUGUGUGUCAUUUAUUCCAGCUAAAAUAAUAGGGAUAGCAAAGUUUACACUUAUGAGGAAGAACGGUCCAGUGGAUAGGGCACUAGUGUGGGGCAUGGGAGACCUCAGUUCAUUUCACUUUGUGACAAUGGGUAAGUGACUUAGUCCCUCUAUGCCUCCAUUACCCCUCCAUAAAAUAAGGAUAAUAGCUAUGCCCUAUUUGCUUGGGUGUUGUUUUUCUCACAUGUUAAAAAUUGUGAGUAUGCUCAAAUACUACAAGUAGCUGAGAUAACUAGACAUAUGUGAUGCAUGAUGAUAAAAAAAAACUGAAUUGGUAACGGGGGCUAUAUAUAAGUACCUAAGAUCAGUUUUGUUAAAGAAUGUGGAGAUAUCCAUAUGGAAAGCUUUGUGUAGCACUUCGCUCUGCUGGUAAUCCUGGUGAAAAUCAAUGAGCUUAUUUGUAG
Molecule: long non-coding RNA, 3527 nt
Organism: Chelonia mydas (Green sea turtle)
Lineage: Eukaryota; Metazoa; Chordata; Testudines; Cheloniidae
Exons: 3
Source: RefSeq, a predicted model, not a curated record